This 499-nucleotide ribosomal RNA is filed under the name uncultured bacterium. RNAcentral's name for it is "partial 16S ribosomal RNA". It matches the Rfam family "Bacterial small subunit ribosomal RNA", at positions 28 to 507 of the family's 1533-position model. The record is from RNAcentral.
GACGAACGCUGGCGGCGUGCCUAAUACAUGCAAGUCGAGCGAAGUUUUUCUGGUGCUUGCACUAGAAAAACUUAGCGGCGAACGGGUGAGUAACACGUAAAGAACCUGCCUCAUAGACUGGGACAACUAUUGGAAACGAUAGCUAAUACCGGAUAACAGCAUUAACUGCAUGGUUGUUGUUUAAAAGUUGGUUUUGCUAACACUAUGAGAUGGCUUUGCGGUGCAUUAGCUAGUUGGUGGGGUAAAGGCCUACCAAGGCGACGAUGCAUAGCCGACCUGAGAGGGUGAUCGGCCACACUGGGACUGAGACACGGCCCAGACUCCUACGGGAGGCAGCAGUAGGGAAUCUUCCGCAAUGGGCGAAAGCCUGACGGAGCAACGCCGCGUGAGUGAAGAAGGAUUUCGGUUCGUAAAGCUCUGUUGUUAGGGAAGAAUGAUUGUGUAGUAACUAUACACAGUAGAGACGGUACCUAACCAGAAAGCCACGGCUAACUACGUG